RNAcentral lists this ribosomal RNA (730 nucleotides) under Lysinibacillus fusiformis. RNAcentral describes it as "bacterial SSU rRNA". It matches the Rfam family "Bacterial small subunit ribosomal RNA", at positions 56 to 767 of the family's 1533-position model. The record is from RNAcentral. Lineage: Bacteria; Bacillati; Bacillota; Bacilli; Caryophanales; Bacillaceae.
UGCAAGUCGAGCGAACAGAGAAGGAGCUUGCUCCUUCGACGUUAGCGGCGGACGGGUGAGUAACACGUGGGCAACCUACCUUAUAGUUUGGGAUAACUCCGGGAAACCGGGGCUAAUACCGAAUAAUCUGUUUCACCUCAUGGUGAAACACUGAAAGACGGUUUCGGCUGUCGCUAUAGGAUGGGCCCGCGGCGCAUUAGCUAGUUGGUGAGGUAACGGCUCACCAAGGCGACGAUGCGUAGCCGACCUGAGAGGGUGAUCGGCCACACUGGGACUGAGACACGGCCCAGACUCCUACGGGAGGCAGCAGUAGGGAAUCUUCCACAAUGGGCGAAAGCCUGAUGGAGCAACGCCGCGUGAGUGAAGAAGGAUUUCGGUUCGUAAAACUCUGUUGUAAGGGAAGAACAAGUACAGUAGUAACUGGCUGUACCUUGACGGUACCUUAUUAGAAAGCCACGGCUAACUACGUGCCAGCAGCCGCGGUAAUACGUAGGUGGCAAGCGUUGUCCGGAAUUAUUGGGCGUAAAGCGCGCGCAGGUGGUUUCUUAAGUCUGAUGUGAAAGCCCACGGCUCAACCGUGGAGGGUCAUUGGAAACUGGGAGACUUGAGUGCAGAAGAGGAUAGUGGAAUUCCAAGUGUAGCGGUGAAAUGCGUAGAGAUUUGGAGGAACACCAGUGGCGAAGGCGACUAUCUGGUCUGUAACUGACACUGAGGCGCGAAAGCGUGGGGA